This 397-nucleotide ribosomal RNA is filed under the name uncultured bacterium. RNAcentral describes it as "partial 16S ribosomal RNA". It matches the Rfam family "Bacterial small subunit ribosomal RNA", at positions 523 to 918 of the family's 1533-position model. The record is from RNAcentral.
AUACGUAGGUGGCAAGCGUUGUCCGGAAUUAUUGGGCGUAAAGCGCGCGCAGGCGGUCCUUUAAGUCUGAUGUGAAAGCCCACGGCUCAACCGUGGAGGGUCAUUGGAAACUGGAGGACUUGAGUGCAGAAGAGGAAAGUGGAAUUCCAAGUGUAGCGGUGAAAUGCGUAGAGAUUUGGAGGAACACCAGUGGCGAAGGCGACUUUCUGGUCUGUAACUGACGCUGAGGCGCGAAAGCGUGGGGAGCAAACAGGAUUAGAUACACUGGUAGUCCACGCCGUAAACGAUGAGUGCUAAGUGUUAGGGGGUUUCCGCCCCUUAGUGCUGCAGCUAACGCAUUAAGCACUCCGCCUGGGGAGUACGGUCGCAAGACUGAAACUCAAAUGAAUUGGCGGGG